This 336-nucleotide long non-coding RNA is filed under the name Bos taurus (domestic cattle). Its description in RNAcentral is "long non-coding RNA NONBTAT006382". The record is from RNAcentral. Lineage: Eukaryota; Metazoa; Chordata; Mammalia; Artiodactyla; Bovidae.
AUACAUCACUCUAAACUGUGUUAAAUAUAUAGACAUGAAAGAAGGGGGAAGAGAUUAAUUUUUGGAGGAAAAAAAGAAAUUUUAAAUAGUUUGCCCAUGGCUCUAUGAAUUCUGUAAAUAAUAUAUUCAACAUUAUUUACAUCUCUCAACUGCAACUCACAAAAGAGUUGGAAUGUUUUUUCAUGGACUAAGAGAACUGGGUGUAAGUUAUGGAGUCACCACAGACAAUCAGUCCAUCCAGGUUCUAAGAACAUUUAUUUCUAGCGUUUGAAUUACUUGUUCUCCUUGGAAGAAGCAGAGGAUGAACAUCUUUAGCAAUUUGUUUUCUGUUUAUCU